AAAGGCUGCGGUAUUUUGACCGUACAAAGGUAGCAUAGUCAUUAGUUUUUUAAUUGAAAACUUGUAUGAAUGGUUGAAUGAAAAAUUAACUUUUUUUUAAAAAAUAUUGAAUUUUACUUUUUAAUUAAAAGGUUAAAAUUUAUUUAAAAGACGAGAAGACCCUAUAGAGUUUUAUAAUUAAAAUUAUAUUUUUUAUAAAGAUUAUUUAAAAUUUUAUAAUUUAUAUUAUUUUGUUGGGGUGAUAGUAAAAUUUAAUUAACUUUUAUUUAUUGAAUACAUUAAUAUAUGUUUAUUUGAUCCAAUAUUAUUGAUUAAAAAAUUAAAUUACCUUAGGGAUAACAGCGUAAUUUUUUUUUAAGUUCUUAUUAAUAAAAAAUUUUGCGACCUCGAUGUUGGAUUAAGAGUUAAUUUUAGGUGCAGCAGUUUAAAAUUUAAGUCUGUUCGACUUUUAAAUUCUU
RNAcentral lists this ribosomal RNA (458 nucleotides) under Camptochaeta bournei. Its description in RNAcentral is "partial small subunit ribosomal RNA". Lineage: Eukaryota; Metazoa; Arthropoda; Insecta; Diptera; Sciaridae. The record is from RNAcentral.